AGAGUUUGAUCAUGGCUCAGGAUGAACGCUAGCGGCAGGCCUAAUACAUGCAAGACGAACGGCAAGAUGUGUAGCAAUACAGAUCCUAGAGUGUCGUAAGGGUGCGUAACAACUAUGCAAUCUGCCCGCAACAGGAGAAUAGCUCCCCGAAAGGGGAAUUAACACUCCAUAAUAUUGGUUGGUGGCAUCACCGGUCAAUUAAAUCUGAGGAGGUUGCGGAUGAGCAUGCUUCUGAUUAGCUAGUUGGUGAGGUAAUGGCUCACCAAGGCGAAGAUCGGUAGCCGGCCUGAGAGGGCGCACGGCCACACUGGAACUGAAACACGGUCCAGACUCCUACGGGAGGCAGCAGUGGGGAAUUUUGCGCAAUGGGGGAAACCCUGACGCAGCAACGCCGCGUGGAGGAUGAAGCCCCUUGGUACGUAAAACCCUUUCGGCAGGGACGAACCUAAUGACGGUACCUGCGGAAGAAGC
This 471-nucleotide ribosomal RNA is filed under the name uncultured Acidobacteriota bacterium. RNAcentral describes it as "bacterial SSU rRNA". It matches the Rfam family "Bacterial small subunit ribosomal RNA", at positions 8 to 491 of the family's 1533-position model. Lineage: Bacteria; Pseudomonadati; Acidobacteriota. The record is from RNAcentral.